RNAcentral lists this ribosomal RNA (469 nucleotides) under uncultured Desulfuromonadales bacterium. RNAcentral describes it as "bacterial SSU rRNA". It matches the Rfam family "Bacterial small subunit ribosomal RNA", at positions 916 to 1381 of the family's 1533-position model. The record is from RNAcentral. Lineage: Bacteria; Pseudomonadati; Thermodesulfobacteriota; Desulfuromonadia; Desulfuromonadales.
GACGGGGCCCGCACAAGCGGUGGAGCAUGUGGUUUAAUUCGAUGCAACGCGAAGAACCUUACCUGGGCUUGACAUCUGGGGAAUCCCCUGGAAACAGGGGAGUGCCUUUCGGGGAGCCCCAAGACAGGUGCUGCAUGGCUGUCGUCAGCUCGUGUCGUGAGAUGUUGGGUUAAGUCCCGCAACGAGCGCAACCCUUGUCAUUAGUUGCUACAUUCAGUUGGGCACUCUAAUGAGACUGCCGGUGACAAACCGGAGGAAGGUGGGGAUGACGUCAAGUCCUCAUGGCCCUUAUAGGUGGGGCUACACACGUCAUACAAUGGCUGGUACAAAGGGUUGCCAACCCGCGAGGGGGAGCCAAUCCCAUAAAGCCAGUCGUAGUCCGGAUCGCAGUCUGCAACUCGACUGCGUGAAGUCGGAAUCGCUAGUAAUCGUGGAUCAGCAUGUCGCGGUGAAUACGUUCCCGGGCCUU